AGUUGAACUCUGUAGGAGCAAAAAAAAACGAUAAUAUAUAUUACGAAUUCAACAAACUGUUUAAUAUUGUACAUAAUAACAGUAAUAUUAAGUCGAUAAAUAUACCCAAAAAUGAGCCAGUAAUAAAUGAAGACAUUGUGUUUUUAAAAGAAAAUGAAAAUGAUAAAAAAAAAAAAAAAAAAAAUGUCUUUUCUAAUUUAUUAAAAAAGCGGAAGAUAAUUAAAAUAAGAGUAAAAAAUGGAUAUGUAUAUACGAAUAAAAAUAGUAGUAGGUUUAUACACACAUGUAAAAAUACGCGUAUACAUAAACAAAAUAAUAAAACAAAACGAAGGAAACGAGAUAGCUUGAACAUGGACAUAUAUAAGGAUAUCCCCCCCAAUGAUACGAUCAUAUUGCAAUUAUUUAAUAAGUCAAAGUUACAAUACUCACUAAUCAAUAAUAUAAAAAAAUAUGUUAACUAUCAAUACAAUAUGAGUAAAAAAAUAUGCUAUUCUUGUUUUAUAUUAAAAGAGAGAAAAAAGUGCAAUAAUAAAAGAAAAAAAUUAUGUACUAUUAAUGAAUUUUUAAAUUUUGAAAAAACGACUAAAUUAAUGAAAAAAGACUUAACAAACGUGACAAAUUUAAAAAAAUUGACAAAUAUGUCAGCUACAUCAGAUGUAAAAAAUAUAAGACAAGUACCAAAUUUAAAAAAUUCGUACACCUUUAAUUACGGUUUUUAUAGUAAGAAAGGACCUUACCACAACAAUGAAGACACCUGCUCACAUGUCAUGUUUAGUUCAUAUAAAGUACACAACGAAAUAAAUAAAUUUAUUAAAAUUAUAGGCACAAAAAAAUAUAACAUAUUUGAAAAUAUAUUAAAACUAUGUAGCAUAAAUUUGGAUAGCUCAUCUUUUUAUAAAAAAAAAAAUAAUAAUAAAAAAUAUGACGUAUGUAAUAAGCUAUGGAUUGAUAGUGAAUUGAAGAGGCAGGAACUGAAUCAGGUAUCAACAAACGUAACAGGCGUAACAAAAAAAACUAUGAAUAAUAUUUAUUUAAAUUGUAUUUUACCAAUAUAUAAGAAUCUAAACAAAACUGAAGUACAUAAUUACAAAGAAAAGGAGGAUUAUGAUAUUAUAAGUUAUUAUUUUUAUGACCAGGAUGAUCCUUAUGUGAAUAAUAAAAAUAAUACUAACAAAAAAAGUACAAAUCGCAACCAAAACGAAUUAAACAUUUUUAAUUAUGCAACUGAAAAAAGUCAAACGUUAAUAAAUGAUAUAAACAGCCGAUUACAUCACACAGAAAAUCAAAAUUUAGUAAAAACAUUUUGUUAUAAAUUUGUAUGCAAGUUAUGUAAAAAAAUUGAAAAGUUGCAUAAUGAAAAAAAAUAUAAAACUAGUUAUUUAAGAUAUUUGUUUGGUUUUUCUACUAAUUUGAAAAAGAGAAUGAAUGAUCCGAGUGUAAAUAGUGUCGGUACUAAGAGUGUAAAAAUAAAAAAUAUAAGUACACCCCAAACAUUUUUUAAACUAAUUGAUUCUGAUAGCUCCAGCUACUCAGAUGAAUUUGAUUAUAUUAAUUAUGUAAAAAAAAGUAAAAACACGUUAUAUAAAUAUCCUGUUACAGAAAAUGCGCAUACAUAUUAUGACAACACUAAUAGUAUUAACAAUAAUAGUAAUGGUAAUAAGGAUAAUAUUAAAAACAACUUGGAUAUGCUAGAUUGUUUACCUAGUCUGGUAAAACGCUUUACAAAGCUUUAUAAAGACACUGAUUUUACUGAACAUGUAAGGACGCACUUAAAAAAAAAAAAAAAAAAAAAAAAAAAAAAAAACGGCUAUAAUAAUGUGCCUAAUAAUGCGCCUAAUAAUGCGCCUAGUACAUAUACGAUGUAUAAAAAUAUAGAACUGAUAAAAACUGAUAUGACAUACGAUUUUUUUAAUGCGUGCAAAAGUUGUAGGCGUCUAAAAAAAUAUGAUAAUUUAGCAAAUAAUUUUUUAUUGAAAUUGUGUAAAAAAAGCAAUAACGUAAACAACUAUCCAUUUUGUAUGAACAUGUCAGAAGAAAAAUUAUUUAAAAUUUUUGUAAGUAUGUAUGAAAAUAGAGAGAGUUGGACUAAAAAUGGUACAACGAAUAGUGCAAUGAAUAAUAUACUAAACAAUAUACACAAUACACAGAAUAUACAUAACAAUUUAAACGAAUUAAAUAAAAACAUAACUAAAAAAUGUAUAGUUCCUAACGCCCUUACAGAUGUAGAUAUAUAUACAAAUAAAAAAAAAAUUAAACAGUGUGGUAUCAGUGUUAAAAAAAAAAUGAAAGAAUACAGA
Molecule: long non-coding RNA, 2297 nt
Organism: Piliocolobus tephrosceles (Ugandan red Colobus)
Lineage: Eukaryota; Metazoa; Chordata; Mammalia; Primates; Cercopithecidae
Source: Ensembl